Molecule: small nucleolar RNA, 104 nt
Organism: Microcebus murinus (gray mouse lemur)
Lineage: Eukaryota; Metazoa; Chordata; Mammalia; Primates; Cheirogaleidae
Source: Ensembl
AUCCUUUUGUAGUUUGUAAGUAUGAUGAUUGGGUGUUCACACUCACGUAUGAGAUGUGCCUACCUCAAACCUUGUUACAACGUUGGCACAUUACCCAUCUGAAG